Molecule: small nucleolar RNA, 213 nt
Filed under: Erythranthe guttata (spotted monkey flower)
Lineage: Eukaryota; Viridiplantae; Streptophyta; Magnoliopsida; Lamiales; Phrymaceae
Description: Mimulus guttatus (spotted monkey flower) Plant small nucleolar RNA U3
Rfam family: Plant small nucleolar RNA U3
About the family: Small nucleolar RNAs (snoRNAs) are involved in the processing and modification of rRNA in the nucleolus. There are two main classes of snoRNAs: the box C/D class, and the box H/ACA class.
Source: Rfam by way of RNAcentral
GCGACCGUACUUGCACAGGAUCUGUUCAAUAGCUUCGUACCUCUGUAUCCUGGAUUCUAAGGAGACAGGAAACCAUGUCUGGUGGAUGAACCAUGCCUGCUCGACCAGAACGUGAUUAACGGACUCACUGGCCCUGCCCAGUUGACUCGAGUAGAGGAUCGUUCUCGGCUAGCUUUGGCUGGCUGGGGUGGUCGUGCAGCUGUCUGACAGACU